UGUCUACACGUUUUCUAUCUUACUAAACUUCUAUGGUUUUGAUGCCCUAACUACAGGAAAGCUUUUGUUGUUUUUUUUGUUUGUUUGUUUGUUUGCAGCUGUUGGCAUUUUCAGACUGCCAACUUCUUCAGCUUCAUCUCUGGGAUAUAUGAAGCAAAAGAAUAUCCAUGGAACUCAUCAUGUCAAGAUCCCAAUUCGGUCCAAUGAGACAUGGAGAUGACAACAGACGGAAGUACACAGCAGGUGUAAAGCAGGAUACUCUCUUCCCUACUGCCUUUGCACAGUAGGGCAGUCAGACAACCUGGGUUCUGGACGCAGAUCUGGCCCGUAUGAGCUGAGUGACCUGAUGAAGGCUGGCACAGCAAGGAGCUGGGAGCUACUGUCAGCGUCCCUUCACCCCGGGCAUGGUGCCAAUCACUUGACACACGCUUCCUUUUUAUCCUCACAACAAUUCUGUAAAAGGUUUCCACCUAUUCUGCAUGAAUACAGCAGCUGCUUCCGGUGCCAGAAAGGGCGAGAUUAGUAUUCCAGUGGCCCUGCGGGUUCCAACGGCCCUGCUGGCACAACUCGCAGAGACAAGUAUUUUGCAAAGAUGAUGACGGGUCCGGGAGGAAAACAAAAGGAAAUGUAUUUUCCUCACUACUCUGUGAGGAUCGAAUAAAAUCCCACCACCAGAGUA
This is a long non-coding RNA of Canis lupus familiaris (dog), 679 nucleotides long. RefSeq lists it as uncharacterized. Lineage: Eukaryota; Metazoa; Chordata; Mammalia; Carnivora; Canidae. The record is from RefSeq and is a predicted model, not a curated record. The transcript is spliced from 3 exons.